AUUGAACGCUGGCGGCAUGCUUUACACAUGCAAGUCGAACGGUAACAGGCCGCAAGGUUCUGCCGAUGGGCGCACGGGUGAGUAAUGCAUCGGCACGUGCCCAGUCCGGGGGGAUAACUACUCACAAGAGUAGCUAAUACCGCAUACGAUCUAUGGAUGAAAGCGAGGGACCGUAAAGCCUCGCGCGAUUGGAGCGGCCGAUGUUAGAUUUGGUAGUUGGUGGGGUAAAGGCUCACCAAUCCAACGAUCUGUAGCUGGUCUGAGAGGACGACCAGCCACACUGGGACUGAGACACGGCCCAGACUCCUACGGGAGGCAGCAGUGGGGAAUUUUGGACAAUGGGCGCAAGCCUGAUCCAGGAAUGCCGCGUGCAGGAAGAAGGCCUUCGGGUUGUAAACUGCUUUUGUACGGAACGAAACGGCUCUGGUUAAUACCCGGGGGUAAUGACGGUACCGUAAGAAUAAGCACCGGCUAACUACGUG
RNAcentral lists this ribosomal RNA (482 nucleotides) under uncultured bacterium. RNAcentral describes it as "partial 16S ribosomal RNA". It matches the Rfam family "Bacterial small subunit ribosomal RNA", at positions 30 to 507 of the family's 1533-position model. The record is from RNAcentral.